This 492-nucleotide ribosomal RNA is filed under the name uncultured bacterium. RNAcentral's name for it is "partial 16S ribosomal RNA". It matches the Rfam family "Bacterial small subunit ribosomal RNA", at positions 28 to 507 of the family's 1533-position model. The record is from RNAcentral.
GAUGAACGCUAGCUCCAGGCUUAACACAUGCAAGUCGAGGGGAAACGCCAUCGCAAGCUUGCUUUUGAUGGGCGUCGACCGGCGCACGGGUGAGUAAAGCGUAUCCAACCUGCCCAUCACUUGGGAAUAACCUUGCGAAAGUAAGACUAAUACCCAAUGACAUCCCACGAAGACAUCUGAAUGGGAUUAAAGAUUUAUCGGUGAUGGAUGGGGAUGCGUCUGAUUAGCUUGUUGGCGGGGUAACGGCCCACCAAGGCAACGAUCAGUAGGGGUUCUGAGAGGCGGGUCCCCCACAUUGGAGAUAAGACCCAGACCAAUAUCGUACGGGGGGGAGCGGUGUGUAAUGUAAGUCAAGGGGGGAUGACGUGAAACAGCCGCGUAGGGUGCAGGGGUACUGUGCUAUGAGUGAUAUACUGCUGUUAGAGAAGAAUAAAGUGAGUCUCUAGGGACGUUUUGAAGGUACCUUAUGAAUAAGGACCGGCUAAUUCCGUG